UGGGCGGUGGCGAACCGGUGAACGCACCUCUCUGAUAAGGAGGCAUUGGAGGGUUCAACUCCCUCUCGCCCAAC
Molecule: transfer RNA, 74 nt
Filed under: Streptomyces phage Bmoc
Lineage: Duplodnaviria; Heunggongvirae; Uroviricota; Caudoviricetes; Stanwilliamsviridae
Description: tRNA-Ile
Rfam family: tRNA
About the family: Transfer RNA (tRNA) molecules are approximately 80 nucleotides in length. Their secondary structure includes four short double-helical elements and three loops (D, anti-codon, and T loops). Further hydrogen bonds mediate the characteristic L-shaped molecular structure. tRNAs have two regions of fundamental functional importance: the anti-codon, which is responsible for specific mRNA codon recognition, and the 3' end, to which the tRNAs corresponding amino acid is attached (by aminoacyl-tRNA synthetases). tRNAs cope with the degeneracy of the genetic code in two manners: having more than one tRNA (with a specific anti-codon) for a particular amino acid; and 'wobble' base-pairing, i.e. permitting non-standard base-pairing at the 3rd anti-codon position.
Source: RNAcentral